RNAcentral lists this microRNA precursor (205 nucleotides) under Oryza sativa Japonica Group (Japanese rice). RNAcentral's name for it is "MIR812 microRNA precursor family". It matches the Rfam family "MIR812 microRNA precursor family". Lineage: Eukaryota; Viridiplantae; Streptophyta; Magnoliopsida; Poales; Poaceae. The record is from Rfam by way of RNAcentral.
AAAAAGACAAACCCUAGAUUUUUGUGUCCAACAUUUGACUAUCCGUCUUAUAUAAAUUUUUUUAUAAUUAGUAUUUUCAUUGUUGUUAGAUGAUAAAACAUGAUUAAUAUUUUAUGCGUGACUUAUCUUUUUAAUUUUUUCAUAUUUUUUUUAAAUGAGACGGAUUGUCAAACAUUGGACACGGAAACAGAUGAUUUGUCUUUUU